UUUGUUUUACGUGUUUGUUUUUAUUUUGUGGUAAGUCACCACUUCGAUGUUGACAUGGACAUUAAUUAUAUGGUCAUUGUUUUUAUAAAUUUACUAAAGAUUUUCUUAUCCCUUGCAUAGAUAACCUUAGCCGUAUUUGGAAUCAUUUUUUAGAAUUUUGAGUCACCAAUGAUCUUCAACUUUGUACCUGUUUUGCUUUCUUUACUUUUGUUAUCUAACGUCAAUGGUGAGUCUUAUGUAGCCGAAAUUCACGUAUUGUAACUAUUAGCAUGUUGAAAUGUCCUAUUGUAAUGUUUAUUUGUGUAUUUAUUUGUCCUGAAUGUUCUUGCAUUUAUUUGUACUAUAGUCCUGUUAUGUAAUGUUGUCAUUUUGAUGUUAACAUUGCCAUAAAAGCACGAGGUUUGGCGAGCCGCAAAACCAGGUUCAACCCACCAUUUUUUUUUUUUUAAAUGUUCUGAACCAAGUCAGGAAAAAGGCCAUUGUAUGUUGGUUUCUGUUUGUGUUACAUUUUAAUGUUGUGUUUCUGUUGUUGUAGUACUUCUCUUAUAUUUGAUGUGUUGCCCUUAGUUUUAAUUUGUAACCCAGAUUUGUUUUUUUCUCUCAAUUGAUUUAUGAAUUUCAAACAGCGGUUUAAUACUGUUGCCUUUAUUUAUUUAAAGACAAUUUAAAUUUAAAAGUCAGUGUUCACAUUAAACAGAAAC
This 701-nucleotide long non-coding RNA is filed under the name Mytilus galloprovincialis (Mediterranean mussel). Lineage: Eukaryota; Metazoa; Mollusca; Bivalvia; Mytilida; Mytilidae. The record is from RNAcentral.